GUCCCUGAAGCGUAAUGGAUAGCGCGUUGGAUUUUUAAUCCAAAGGCCGUGGGUUCGAAUCACACCUAGGAUA
This is a non-coding RNA of Trichonephila clavata, 73 nucleotides long. The record is from the annotation of a GenBank genome assembly. Lineage: Eukaryota; Metazoa; Arthropoda; Arachnida; Araneae; Nephilidae.